GAUCCUGCCAGUAGUCAUAUGCUUGUCUCAAAGA
This 34-nucleotide ribosomal RNA is filed under the name Alchemilla alpina. RNAcentral describes it as "partial 18S ribosomal RNA". The record is from RNAcentral. Lineage: Eukaryota; Viridiplantae; Streptophyta; Magnoliopsida; Rosales; Rosaceae.